GGGUUGUUAGCUCAGUUGGUAGAGCAGGUGACUCUUAAUCACCGGAUCGGGGGUUCGAAUCCCUCACAACCCA
Molecule: transfer RNA, 73 nt
Filed under: Actinomycetota bacterium
Lineage: Bacteria; Bacillati; Actinomycetota
Description: Actinobacteria bacterium tRNA-Lys
Rfam family: tRNA
About the family: Transfer RNA (tRNA) molecules are approximately 80 nucleotides in length. Their secondary structure includes four short double-helical elements and three loops (D, anti-codon, and T loops). Further hydrogen bonds mediate the characteristic L-shaped molecular structure. tRNAs have two regions of fundamental functional importance: the anti-codon, which is responsible for specific mRNA codon recognition, and the 3' end, to which the tRNAs corresponding amino acid is attached (by aminoacyl-tRNA synthetases). tRNAs cope with the degeneracy of the genetic code in two manners: having more than one tRNA (with a specific anti-codon) for a particular amino acid; and 'wobble' base-pairing, i.e. permitting non-standard base-pairing at the 3rd anti-codon position.
Source: RNAcentral